This is a long non-coding RNA of Capsicum annuum, 370 nucleotides long. RefSeq lists it as uncharacterized. The record is from RefSeq and is a predicted model, not a curated record. Lineage: Eukaryota; Viridiplantae; Streptophyta; Magnoliopsida; Solanales; Solanaceae. The transcript has 3 exons.
GUUUUCUGUGUUUCUCUUGCCAAAGGAAAAAAAAGUCUGCCUACCUACAAGUGGUAGAGGAGAAGACAUACGAUAAAUUCUAAUCAAAACAGAGGCAGGAGCUUAUGAUUGUUUGCCAAUUCCUUAAAUUUUGAAGGUGUCGGAUUGUGAGCGAUGUCGUCCAUAUAAACAGGUAGAGGUGGUGGUUUACCCUACGGUGGAUGUCAUCUAUUCGAUUCCUCUUAUAUCCAACUCGUGAACUUAGCUGAUACAAAACUUUUUAAUAGCACCCAGUUUUUCUGAUUCGUGGUUCCGUCUAUAAUUCAUGUUGAUGUUGACAAGAUUCAUCUAUUUAGCAACACCUUAGGAUGGAAGUGAAUUAAAAGUGAAA